GUACUUGUUUCGGCAGUACACGUGAAAAAAUUAGAACAAUACAGAGAAGAUUAGCAUGGCCCCGGUGCAUGGAUGAUGUGCAAAUACAUGAAGUGUUUCAUAUUUUU
Octopus sinensis (East Asian common octopus) is the source of this 107-nucleotide small nuclear RNA. NCBI's taxonomy places the organism in Eukaryota, Metazoa, Mollusca, Cephalopoda, Octopoda, Octopodidae. The record is from RefSeq and is a predicted model, not a curated record.